Molecule: unclassified non-coding RNA, 347 nt
Filed under: soil metagenome
Description: partial contains 5.8S ribosomal RNA, internal transcribed spacer 2, and large subunit ribosomal RNA
Rfam family: 5.8S ribosomal RNA (bases 1-119)
Source: RNAcentral
AUGAAGAACGUAGCGAAAUGCGAUAAGUAAUGUGAAUUGCAGAAUUCAGUGAAUCAUCGAGUCUUUGAACGCACAUUGCGCCCCCUGGUAUUCCGGGGGGCAUGCCUGUCCGAGCGUCAUUGCUGCCCUCAAGCACGGCUUGUGUGUUGGGCCCCCGCCCCCCGGCUUCGGGGGGCGGGCCCGAAAGGCAGCGGCGGCACCGCGUCCGGUCCUCGAGCGUAUGGGGCUUCGUCACCCGCUCUGUAGGCCCGGCCGGCGCCCGCCGGCGACCCCAAUCAAUCUUUCCAGGUUGACCUCGGAUCAGGUAGGGAUACCCGCUGAACUUAAGCAUAUCAAUAAGCGGAGGA